AGAAGGGAGGUGGUCGCCCUCCGUCGUGGUCUGGCGUGUAUUCCGAGCGUUGGUGUCUGGCGGUUUCCGAGCGUUGGUGUCUGGCGGUUUCUGACCGUUGGUGUCUGGCGGUUUCCGACCGUUGGUGUCUGGCACGCGCCACCCUCUCUUGCUUUGGUUGCGCCAUGCCGAUGUACCAGGUAAAGCCCUAUCACGGGGUCUGCGCCCCUCUCCGUGUGGAGCCCACCUGCAUGUACUGGCUCCCCAACAUGCACGGCAGGAGCGGCGGCCCAGCACUUGGCACUGGCCACUUGCAGACAAGAAGACAAGAAAAUGAUUUGAGGACAGCUUCAAUCGCGGUGUGAAGAAGAAAGCAGCAAAACGACCACUGAAAACAACGCCGGUGGCAAAAUAUCCAAAGAAAGGGUCCCAAGCGGUACAUCGUCAUAGCCGGAAACAGUCAGAGCCACCAGCCAAUGAUAUUUUCAAUGCUGCGAAAGCUGCCAAAAGUGACAUGCAGCACCGAGAAGUCCGCGUGAAGUGCGUGAAGGCUCUGAAAGGGCUGUACGGUAACCGGGACCUGACCGCACGCCUUCACUGGCCGCUUCAAGGACUGGAUGGUUUCCAUGAUCGUGGACAGAGAGUACAGUGUGGCAGUGGAGGCCGUCAGAUUACUGAUACUUAUCCUUAAGUGAGUCCUGGGAAGAGGGGAGGCCAGUGUCUCAGACCUUUGCCCUUCCAGGGUCAUCUCCCUCCACCUGUCACAGCUGACUCUUCCAUCUGUGCAGGUUGACUGAGGUCAUUCCUGAGUUGCAGUAUGUUGAGAGGGUAAUAUUUCUGUCUUCUCUAACUCCCCAUACUCCCUUGUCUUCCACUCUCCACUUAGGAGUUUUUUGUGAGUUAUGUCCUUGUUGCUUUUGCCUCUUUUUCUUUCUAGCCUUGAUUGUGCCAGAAGACAAUGUCCCUAUUCACACACUCUUUCUGCUUUUCUGUGGGCAGGAACAUGGAAGGGGUGCUGAUGGACGUGGACUGUGAGAGCGUCUACCCCAUUGUGUAGGCCUCUAAUUG
Long non-coding RNA from Homo sapiens (human), 1047 nucleotides. NCBI's taxonomy places the organism in Eukaryota, Metazoa, Chordata, Mammalia, Primates, Hominidae. The record is from Ensembl.